GACGAACGCUGGCGGCGUGCUUAACACAUGCAAGUCGAGCGGUAAGGCCCUUUCGGGGGUACACGAGCGGCGAACGGGUGAGUAACACGUGGGUGACCUGCCCUUAGCUCUGGGAUAAGCCUGGGAAACUGGGUCUAAUACCGGAUAUGACUCCAUGACGCAUGUUGUGGGGUGGAAAGCCUUGUGCGGCUAGGGAUGGGCCCGCGGCCUAUCAGCUUGUUGGUGGGGUGAUGGCCUACCAAGGCGACGACGGGUAGCCGGCCUGAGAGGGCGACCGGCCACACUGGGACUGAGACACGGCCCAGACUCCUACGGGAGGCAGCAGUGGGGAAUCUUGCGCAAUGGGCGAAAGCCUGACGCAGCGACGCCGCGUGGGGAUGACGGCCUCGGUUGUAA
Molecule: ribosomal RNA, 396 nt
Filed under: uncultured bacterium
Lineage: Bacteria
Description: bacterial SSU rRNA
Rfam family: Bacterial small subunit ribosomal RNA
Source: RNAcentral